CGCUAGCGGGAGGCUUAACACAUGCAAGUCGAGGGGCAGCACGAGGUAGCAAUACUUUGGUGGCGACCGGCGCACGGGUGAGUAACGCGUAUGCAACCUACCCUGUACAGGGGGAUAGCCCGGAGAAAUUCGGAUUAAUACCCCAUAAAGAUAUUUAGAGGCAUCUUUAAAUAUUUAAAGUUUCGACGGUACGGGAUGGGCAUGCGUGACAUUAGCUAGUUGGUAGGGUAACGGCCUACCAAGGCUUCGAUGUCUAGGGGUCCUGAGAGGGUGAUCCCCCACACUGGUACUGAGACACGGACCAGACUCCUACGGGAGGCAGCAGUGAGGAAUAUUGGUCAAUGGGCGUAAGCCUGAACCAGCCAUCCCGCGUGAAGGAAGAAGGCGCUAUGCGUCGUAAACUUCUUUUCCGGAGGAAUAAAAUUUCGUACGUGUACGGAACUGAAGGUACUCUGGGAAUAAGCAUCGGCUAACUCCGUGCCAGCAGCCGCGGUAAUACGGAGGAUGCGAGCGUUAUCCGGAUUUAUUGGGUUUAAAGGGUGCGUAGGCGGAUUAAUAAGUCAGUGGUGAAAACCUUCAGCUUAACUGGAGAACUGCCAUUGAUACUGUUAGUCUUGAGUACGGUCAAGGUAGGCGGAAUGUGUAAUGUAGCGGUGAAAUGCUUAGAUAUUACACAGAACACCGAUUGCGAAGGCAGCUUACUGGGCCAUUACUGACGCUGAUGCACGAAAGCGUGGGGAGCGAACAGGAUUAGAUACCCUGGUAGUCCACGCCGUAAACGAUGAUCACUCGCUGUUGGCGAUACACAGUCAG
This 813-nucleotide ribosomal RNA is filed under the name uncultured bacterium. RNAcentral's name for it is "bacterial SSU rRNA". It matches the Rfam family "Bacterial small subunit ribosomal RNA", at positions 34 to 843 of the family's 1533-position model. The record is from RNAcentral.